RNAcentral lists this long non-coding RNA (1077 nucleotides) under Oryctolagus cuniculus (rabbit). RNAcentral describes it as "lncRNA (ENSOCUG00000036567.1)". The record is from RNAcentral. Lineage: Eukaryota; Metazoa; Chordata; Mammalia; Lagomorpha; Leporidae.
UCCCCGCACUCACAUUUUCUGCUUACAGGGCCCGUUGAGGAAACCCGACGCCGAUUUCUCUCAUUAGAACACUACCCUCAACCUCCCCGCUUCGGGAGCAGCUGGGCACUGCUGGUCCCGGGUUUGAAAAACCGACUUCACAGCGUAGCUUUCUACUUCUUGUGUACUAAGGAGGAUUCGAACAUUGGUGGCCGCGAUCACUCUGAUUUUCUCAAGCAAAUAACCCAAUGUGCUCAUCCUCAAAGUUCCAGGACCUGCUUUUGCGGGGGACACCGGAGAAAGAAGGGUGUGUGUGUAUGUCCACGUACGCACAGGACGGAGGACGAGAAAGCAGCGCAGGAGUUGGCAGGCCGCGUCCACCACCAGAAGGCUCGCGCGGGUCCUGAGACUCGCUCCGGCUUCUGCGCCGGGGCCGCAAUCUCUCGAGCUGCGCCUGGCGCUCCCAGUCGCGCAGGGCACGAAGGAUGCACGCGAAGGAGCCGGGCCGGCGGCUGCCGGACUUCGGAGGGGCUGACCUCGCCGCCUCUCCCCCGGGCUCUGCGCCCCCUCUGGGCCCCGCGCCCGGGACCUGCCUCCUUUCUUUCCUUCCUUCCCAGUGAGCUCACUUCCUCCCCACGCCGUUCCCUUCCGUCGGCCGUCAGAGCCUCCAGGCCAGCCGCGGCUUUCUGGGCGCGCGAGGACUCCCGGCCCGGGGCUUCCUCCGCGCCCCGCCCCCGCCCCCUACCCGGGGCGCUUCCUGGGGAGACGCCGGGAGCUGCGCAAGGUUCCGCCCGCGGGACAGGGGAAAUGGAAAUCUCAGCUCGGAGGAUAAAGGGCUUCGUUCGCGGCCAGAUUCCUAACGAGCGCGGGAUGGAAGCACGCAGGCCUAAGCGUUUCAUCCAGAGGGGCCCUGGGCUCGGCCCAGCGCCUGUGUCCCUUUCCUUGCUUCCUUCUUUCUCUCCCGCCCUGUUCCUCGCUGUAGUUCACGCGUGUAUUAAAAAUUCAUAUGCGGCCGCAUUUAAAAAGCAAUUCCGAAUUUUAAGGCCGGCAGCAGUAGAGGGAGAGUUACAAAUAGGAUUGGAUUUAAUUAGCUGGUAA